GUACGGCCCUUUUACGGUGUAAAACGAGGCCCUACCGGUUUAAAAGCUUUUCAACGAAAAGGAAGGAGUAAAGUUAAUACCAUUGCUCAUAACCUUUCCCGCAAAAGAAACACCGGGGAACUACGUGCCAGGAGCAGCGGUAAUACGGAGGGUGCAAGCGUUAAUCAGAAUACCAGGAGUAAAACCCACUCCGGCGGUUUGUUAAGUCAGAUUUGAAAUCCCCGGGCUCAACAGGGGAACCGCAUCUGAAACGGGCAAGGUGGAGUCUCGAAGAGGGGGGUAGAAUUCGAGGUGUAGCGGUGCACUGCGUAGAGAUCUGGAGGAAUACCGGUGGCGAAGGCGGCCCCCUGGACGAAGACUGACGCUCAGGUGCGACAGCGUGGAGAGCAAACAGG
Molecule: ribosomal RNA, 395 nt
Filed under: uncultured Actinomyces sp.
Lineage: Bacteria; Bacillati; Actinomycetota; Actinomycetes; Actinomycetales; Actinomycetaceae
Description: bacterial SSU rRNA
Rfam family: Bacterial small subunit ribosomal RNA
Source: RNAcentral